CGAGCGGCGGACGGGUGAGUAACGCGUGGGUAACCUGCCUCAUACAGGGGGAUAACAGUUGGAAACGGCUGCUAAUACCGCAUAAGCGCACAGUACCGCAUGGUACGGUGUGAAAAACUCCGGUGGUAUGAGAUGGACCCGCGUCUGAUUAGGUAGUUGGUGGGGUAACGGCCUACCAAGCCGACGAUCAGUAGCCGACCUGAGAGGGUGACCGGCCACAUUGGGACUGAGACACGGCCCAA
This 242-nucleotide ribosomal RNA is filed under the name uncultured bacterium. RNAcentral's name for it is "partial 16S ribosomal RNA". It matches the Rfam family "Bacterial small subunit ribosomal RNA", at positions 92 to 334 of the family's 1533-position model. The record is from RNAcentral.